RNAcentral lists this ribosomal RNA (484 nucleotides) under uncultured bacterium. RNAcentral's name for it is "partial 16S ribosomal RNA". It matches the Rfam family "Bacterial small subunit ribosomal RNA", at positions 30 to 507 of the family's 1533-position model. The record is from RNAcentral.
AUUGAACGCUGGCGGCAGGCUUUACACAUGCAAGUCGAACGGUAACAGGCCGCAAGGUGCUGGCGAGUGGGGCACGGGGGAGUAAUACAUCUGGACGUCCCCCUGCUAGGGGGGGAACUACUCGGGAGAGUGGCUCAUAUCGCGUAUGAGCUAUGAGUGAAAGAGUGGGGGAGUUACGGCCCUCGCGAUUUCAGCUGCGGCUGUGUCAGAUUAGCUAGUUGGUGGGGUAAAGGCCUACCACGGCGACGAUCCGUAACUGGUCUGAGAGGAUGAUCAGUCACACUGGAACUGAGACACGGCCCAGACUCCUACGGGAGGCAGCAGUGGGGAAUAUUGGACAAUGGGCGAAAGCCUGAUCCAGCCAUGCCGCGUGCAGGAAGAAGGCCUUCGGGUUGUAAAGUGCUUUUGUACGGAAGGAAACGGAUCUAGUUAAUACCCGGCGCUAAUGACGGUACCGUCAGAAUAAGCACCGGCUAACUACGUG